UCAGGAUGAACGCUGGCGGCGUGCCUAAUACAUGCAAGUCGUACGAGGUUAAUCCAGCUUGCUGGAGAGACCUAGUGGCGAACGGGUGAGUAAUACGUAAGUAACCUGCCUGCAAGGACUGGGAUAACACCUGGAAACGGGCGCUAAUACCGGAUAGGUAACAGAGGGGCAUCCCACUGUUAUUAAAGGUUAAAGACACAAGCAGAUGGGCUUACGGUGCAUUAGCUAGUUGGUGAGGUAACGGCCCACCAAGGCGAUGAUGCAUAGCCGGCCUGAGAGGGUGAACGGCCACAUUGGGACUGAGACACGGCCCAGACUCCUACGGGAGGCAGCAGUAGGGAAUUUUCGGCAAUGGGCGCAAGCCUGACCGAGCAACGCCGCCGUGAGUGAAGAAGAAUUUCGGUUCGUAAAGCUCUGUUGUAAGGGAAGAAUAACACGGAGAGAAUCCGUGCAUGACGGUACCUUACCAGAAAGCCACGGCUAACUACGUGCCAGCCGCCGC
RNAcentral lists this ribosomal RNA (502 nucleotides) under uncultured bacterium. Its description in RNAcentral is "bacterial SSU rRNA". It matches the Rfam family "Bacterial small subunit ribosomal RNA", at positions 24 to 518 of the family's 1533-position model. The record is from RNAcentral.